This 509-nucleotide ribosomal RNA is filed under the name Italochrysa neurodes. RNAcentral describes it as "partial 16S ribosomal RNA". It matches the Rfam family "Bacterial large subunit ribosomal RNA", at positions 1833 to 2597 of the family's 2925-position model. Lineage: Eukaryota; Metazoa; Arthropoda; Insecta; Neuroptera; Chrysopidae. The record is from RNAcentral.
UUUUUGUUAAAAAUAAAAAGUCUAACCUGCCCACUGAUAAGAUAUUAAAGGGCCGCGGUAUAUUGACUGUGCAAAGGUAGCAUAAUCAUUUGUCUCUUAAUUGGAGGCUUGAAUGAAUGGUUGAAUGAAAUAUUAACUGUCUCAGUUUUAAAAAUUUAAAAAUUUAAUUUUUGAGUUAAAAAGCUUAAAUUUUUUUAGAGGACGAGAAGACCCUAUAGAUCUUUAUAUUUAUUAUUUUAUUAUAAAAUAGAAAAAUAUUUAAUAAUAUUUUAAUAAUUAUUUUAUUGGGGUGAUAGGAAAAUUAAAAAAACUUUUUUUAUUAUUAAACAUAAAUUAAUGAAUAAUUGAUCCAUAAUUUGUGAUUAUAAGAUUAAGUUACCUUAGGGAUAACAGCGUAAUUUUUUUAAAGAGUUCAUAUCGAUAAAAAAGAUUACGACCUCGAUGUUGAAUUAAAGAUAGUUUUAGAUGUAGCAGUUUAAAGAUUAGGUCUGUUCGACCUUUAAAUCUUU